Molecule: ribosomal RNA, 234 nt
Filed under: Papiliotrema flavescens
Lineage: Eukaryota; Fungi; Basidiomycota; Tremellomycetes; Tremellales; Rhynchogastremaceae
Description: partial 26S ribosomal RNA
Rfam family: Eukaryotic large subunit ribosomal RNA
Source: RNAcentral
UUUGACCUGAAAUCAGGUAGGGCUACCCGCUGAACUUAAGCAUAUCAAUAAGCGGAGGAAAAGAAACUAACAAGGAUUCCCCUAGUAACGGCGAGUGAACCGGGAAGAGCUCAAAUUUGAAAUCUGGCGUGCUCAGUGCGUCCGAAUUGUAAUCUAUAGAGUCGUUUUCCGUGCCGGACUGUGUCCAAGUCCCUUGGGACAGGGUGUCAAAGAGGGUGAUAAUCCCGUACUUGA